UACAGAGGGGGCAAGCGUUGUUCGGAAUUACUGGGCGUAAAGGGCGCGUAGGCGGCCUUCUAAGUCGAACGUGAAAUCCCCGGGCUCAACCCGGGAACUGCGUCCGAUACUGGAAGGCUUGAAUCCGGGAGAGGGAUGCGGAAUUCCAGGUGUAGCGGUGAAAUGCGUAGAGAUCAGGAAGAACACCGGUGGCGAAAGCGCUCUGCUAGGCCGCAACUGACACUGAGGGACGAAAGCUAGGGGAGCGAAUGGG
RNAcentral lists this ribosomal RNA (253 nucleotides) under uncultured bacterium. Its description in RNAcentral is "partial 16S ribosomal RNA". It matches the Rfam family "Bacterial small subunit ribosomal RNA", at positions 524 to 776 of the family's 1533-position model. The record is from RNAcentral.